CUCUUCCUUUCCUAGUAAGUUUGAAAGCCUUUUGAAACAAAUGGAAUUUGCAUCAGGAAACUCUUAGGAGAAGGUCUGCAGUCCUGUUCCCUUGUAGAACUACAACAGAUAGAAAAACAGUUGGAGCGGAGUGUCAGUACCAUCCGAGCACGAAAGGUUUCUUCAUAAAAGUCCAAGAAAUGAUCUGUUCUAAUGAAGUUUUGGGUACUUGACAUUUAAUUUACUUUGCUUAUUCUUUUCAGAUUCAAGUUUUUAAGGAACAAAUUGAACGACUAAAAGAAAAGGUAACACCACAGUUAAUUUAUUUUGAGCUGCAAUUCCCAUGAAGGUACACAAUUAUUUGAGUAACAAUUCAUGCAUAAUGCAAUCAUUUAAAUAGUGAAUUCAAGAUAACUCAAAUUGCAAAGUCGAAACUACUUAUUUAUGGCAUGACUUUGUUGUUGCAUGUCAUUGUCUCUGUCCCUCAAUAGCAGCUUCACUAGUUAAUGUAAUGCUUUCCUGUCUAACAAAUCCAGGAGAAAAUCCUUGCUUCUGAAAAUGCAAUACUGAGGGAGAAGGUAUAUUUUUCUUUUCCUUAGCCUCAAACCUUAGUUUAAGUCCUCUUUCAACUCUUCGACUCUAUAGUUCAUAGUCGAGUAUAAAAUCAUAAUAAAGGCAAGUAGUAAUUCUCUCGUGCCUUGUUUUAGUUUGGUGGCCUUCAACAGAGUCAAGGCUCAAGUGGAGAAAAGGAAGGUGAAGCUCUUUGUACAGAGAGUAGUGAAAAAUCAGAUGUGGAGACUGAAUUGUUCAUCGGACCACCCGAGUGCAGAAUAAGGCGUCCCUUACAGAAUUAAUAGGUGAACAAUCUUUUGGACUAUCUGCAGUUAAGGGUAUAUAACUAAUUGUGAAAAUGGUCUUCAUGCUAAAUAAUUGUGCAUUUUUUAUCAAGCAACUAAUAAGACGUAUGUCUCUUAGGCGCAGCUGAUGGAACUUUUGAUCACUUCUGAGAUGAUUUGUACUGGGAUGUGUAUUAUAUUUUCCUUUGAUUGACACUCUUAGUUAAUAAGUUCCUUUCUUUAUGAAGUUAAGCACCUGUUUAGCUGCUUUCAUAUUUGUGGAACAACUAUAUAACAAAACAAUAUUCUAAUCACUCUUUAUGUCAGCAAAAUCUUAAGCAUCAUGGAUAUUGACUUUCUUGCUUGGCUCUUGUUCAUUUGCUAGAGUAUCUCCUACCUCCAAAACCAUAAAAAUCAGAUAAAUUUCUGAGGUUUAUCUCUAAGUUGUAGACCCUUAAUUUUAUUAGUACUUCAUGCUGCGAUCCAACAGUUGCAUCGUUAGUUUUAUCAUUGAUGGGAUUGAAGUCCUGACAAUACAAAGUUUGUGUGUUCUUGAAGAUCAAAUCGAGUUUGCAUUACAGACAUUAUUUACAGGGAUAGCAUGUGCUAACUUCUCAAGUAUCAGAAUAUUACCACAAGCUGUGCAAAUAAAAAGAAGAGUGAGGAUAAACAUGUAAAAAAACAAUUUCGUGAUAAUUUGCCGAGGACCAGACUUAGACCAAGUCCUAUGGAGUUUCAAAAAUAGACCUCUAUGUGAUCAUUCAGCUGUGGCACCAUCCAAAAUUUUAAUCACAUCUUUUGUAGGAAGAGUAGGAAUAGCCUCAAGUUUAACUCUACCUAUUCUUCUGUAAAAUCUUGCAAAAAUUUAUCUUCCCUGCCAAGAUGAAUCUUCACAAAUUAUAAUUUGUGAUAACAAUAUCAGAAGUGAAGCUCUUAAACUGUUACUGAUUUUAUACCCAAGUUGGAAAUAUUAAAACACUAAUGUUAGUGUAGUAUCAUUGUAUCAGCAGCCUUCUCCCCCUUCAGUAACCUGCAAAAGCCUAGGAUUCUGGUUGAAAACUGAAAAGUUUAGUUAUCACAACAUUGUCAUCUCAUUUGCAUUAUCACCAUUAGUUAACAAAGUGAUUUUGUGCUCCCUUGUCUGCUAUUUCGAUGCAAGCACAAGAUAAAGGACUUUUACUGCAAACAAAAACCACUACAACUAUGCCUCCAUUGCAAGCAAGUAGAGAUCAACUAUACAAGUCCUCACUUUUACUGCUAAGCCAGGGUUUAAAUUGUUUGUAAGCUUCAGUUACCUUGAUUAUGUAUGCCAGAUUGGCCCAAAAUGCUCAUGAUGCCUUUCCCAGCAGCCUCUGCCUAUGGCCAUAAAUGCAAAUCUUAGAUUGGGAUCUUUCGUACAAUUAAUAUUCAGCGUAGAGAAAGCUAAGUUUAUUUACCUUCUGAAUGAGAUAUUUGGCUAACUCUGCUUCAGUAAGGAGCAUUUUCAGCACUUGGAAACAUGAGCUCACUCUCACCAUCUGAUCUUAAGUUGACAGGAGGCCAAGGCUGUCUUUGCCUUUGGGAUCAAAACAGAUGCCUGAAUUAUUAACACGGUUCUCUUUUAAGUCAUCUGCUAGCAUAUGAGCUAUGACCAAACUGAUCUUCACAUACCUGAAACAAUGAUGAAAUCUUUCCAAUUAUCCUGGGAAAAUUUUGAGAGAAGCUCUCGAAUUAGCAAACGAGAGAACCAAGAAAACUGAUUAAGCAAGACUACCAUAAUGAUUAGUUACUACAGCAGUCCUUAGACAACAAAUAAAAGUGUCCUAUCUUUAACAAUAUAAGCUUCAAAACGAGACAAACAUUUCAGCAUAGUAUCAAAUUGGUUAAGGUCUUCUGGCUUCGUGGCUUUGAGUAUCACUGUCACCC
Molecule: long non-coding RNA, 2720 nt
Filed under: Nicotiana tabacum (common tobacco)
Lineage: Eukaryota; Viridiplantae; Streptophyta; Magnoliopsida; Solanales; Solanaceae
Description: long non-coding RNA (NTAB_LNC006742)
Source: RNAcentral